This 75-nucleotide transfer RNA is filed under the name Rhodobiaceae bacterium. RNAcentral describes it as "tRNA-Glu". It matches the Rfam family "tRNA". Rfam says of the family: Transfer RNA (tRNA) molecules are approximately 80 nucleotides in length. Their secondary structure includes four short double-helical elements and three loops (D, anti-codon, and T loops). The record is from RNAcentral. Lineage: Bacteria; Pseudomonadati; Pseudomonadota; Alphaproteobacteria; Hyphomicrobiales; Rhodobiaceae. RNAcentral also lists the same sequence under 1 other name.
GCGCCCUUCGUCUAGUGGUUAGGACACCGCCCUUUCACGGCGGAAACACGGGUUCGAGUCCCGUAGGGCGUACCA